CAGUCGCCACGGUAAUACGGAGGGGGCUAGCGUUGUUCGGAAUUACUGGGCGUAAAGCGCACGUAGGCGGCUUUGUAAGUCAGAGGUGAAAGCCUGGAGCUCAACUCCAGAAUUGCCUUUGAGACUGCAUCGCUUGAACGUCGGAGAGGUGAGUGGAAUUCCGAGUGUAGAGGUGAAAUUCGUAGAUAUUCGGAAGAACACCAGUGGCGAAGGCGGCUCACUGGACGACUGUUGACGCUGAGGUGCGAAAGCGUGGGGAGCAAACAGGAUUAGAUACCCCCGUAGUCCCUGUCUCUUAUAC
This 301-nucleotide ribosomal RNA is filed under the name uncultured bacterium. Its description in RNAcentral is "partial 16S ribosomal RNA". It matches the Rfam family "Bacterial small subunit ribosomal RNA", at positions 509 to 807 of the family's 1533-position model. The record is from RNAcentral.